This 1484-nucleotide long non-coding RNA is filed under the name Equus caballus (horse). Its description in RNAcentral is "lncRNA (ENSECAG00000060324.1)". The record is from RNAcentral. Lineage: Eukaryota; Metazoa; Chordata; Mammalia; Perissodactyla; Equidae.
CACACGAUAAGCACUGGGAUGAAAUGCCCUCUUGCCGAGUGACGAAGCAGUGGCAGCAGCUGCGGCCCUCUCUUCAGUGAGUGUGUAACUCGUGUUGGUGACAGACAUGAUAGAGACAGUGAGAGCGGCUGCCUUUGAAGCCAUCAUUGCAACCUGCAACCCGGGAAGACAGGAUCCUGACUGAUGUGGUGGGAAGAAUUCUAGGUCUUAGUCUGUAAACAGCAACUUCAUGUGGGCUUACGGCAUCUUCAGACUGGACCCAGAGUACGACAGGAGUGGUGCACCUUCAAGGAGCCAGAUGCUGGCAGAAGCCAGUGAACUAAGGUUGAUUUCCUAUGUUUUCUAAGAAUUUGGGGUAUACCUCUCCCCUGGAGAUCCUUCUGCUGAAGCCCCUAGCUUCAGCCUCUUAGGAUAACAUGACCUCAGCACCCUAGGGAAGGAAAGUCAAAAAGGCAGAGAAAUGAGUGACUCGCUCCAGAAGAGUCCCUUGGAUACCUGGGACUUCUAAGCAAAUCAACACUGAAGUUCUCACCCAGACUAACGGAAUUAGGAUUUCUGGAGCUGAAGUGUGGGCAUGGCAUUGUUUAGAGUUUCAAGAUGAUUUGAAUGUUCUACUGGGGCUGAAAACCACAGAUCUAGAUAAUCUGGCAUCUCAUUUCCAAUUAGGAAAACAGAAAAUACUAAGCAGCUAUAGUUGAUCUAUAUCUACACGGAUGGAAUUAAUUGAAAAUUGAUAUUCAGUCAAAAAUUAUUGAUCAAGCAUUGCCCAUGCAUCAAGUCUUUCCAGAAGCCAGCCCUGACCCUGACCCUGGUACAUCUAAGGUUGCCACUGGAGAGGAACGAAAGGAAACGUCCUUGCGGCACUGCGGCCAUGGGCGUGGGCGUAGGCGAUGAAGACGUGCGUAAAUGGUGCUGAAAGGCCAAACGCACAGAACUGAGGUGGGGAGAUUGUACAUCAUGAAUUGCACGGUUACACGCACACACAGUGAAGGAACUCUGUGGAAACCAGAUCGAAACCUGGAAGACUCGGGUCUCCCUAUUUGAACUAGGGUUUUGAAGCUUUUAGCCUCAAAAGAUAGUGUUGUCUCAUAGUCUUGACAAUUAGGGAAAAUACAGUUAGAAAAGAAUCAUGUGAUCCUUAGUAAUAUUUUUAGGUUGUUUCUUUGUUUUCGCCAGUGUUUGAAAUUUUCCUUUAUAAUUAAUGUGGGUUUUCCUGUGAGGAAAGUAUGUUUACUUAUUUAUUUUACUAAUUUACCUCCUACUGGAAACAGAAACCCACGCAUUUCCCGCAUAUUUUCAAGCAAAAUAGCAUGACAUAUUUCUCUGGAGCAGCAUGAGUAAAAGCAUGUGACUAUAAAGAAAUAAAAUUCAUUCUAAUUCAAAAAAACAUUAAAGUAGGUGUCCUACUAUGUGCAAAGUAUUGGACUAGGAAUAAAAUGUAAAACAUACAAUAUAUCCAUUCUCCCAACAAAGGUUUAUUGGAC